This is an RNA transcript of Carassius auratus (goldfish), 1736 nucleotides long. RefSeq lists it as uncharacterized. The record is from RefSeq and is a predicted model, not a curated record. The transcript has 5 exons. Lineage: Eukaryota; Metazoa; Chordata; Actinopteri; Cypriniformes; Cyprinidae.
UUUUUAAACCACAGUUAAUUUAGAAAGAGAUUUUUAAUGUCUCAAAUGCAAAAAAAGAGGGAUGACCUUAUCAAUAACCUUUAGCAACCAGUCUUUGAUAGGGCAUUUGUUACUCUAAUAUCACACUGAUUACAGUUUGGCAUUGGGGAAUAGGGGCUUUCGCACUAGAAGAACCUUUUAUAGUUCCUAUGACUAUUGGCAGGAGUACCCACUUUUUGGCGUGUUCGCACUGCAGGAACGUGGAAUGACCCUACUUAAGUGUAGGGUCUAACCCAGCACAACAGGAACUACCAGUGACAUAAGUGUAAGCUGAUUGGCUGAACUAACUACAAACAUGGAAAACAGUGAUAGAUGGACUUCUCAACCUUGGCUUCAGGAUAAAAUCCAACGCAAGUUUGAGGUGACCGAGUGAAACAUGAUUAUCUAUUUCUGCUCAGCUAGCAACACUGGACAUCAAACACACGAAGCCCACAACUAACAGGAAACUCAAACUCAUUAAAUGGCUACAAAGCAAAAAGUUACUAGCAAGGAGAGUAAAGUGCUCAAGAUGUGGCCAUAAUAUGAGAAUGAAGAGAGCUACAUCUCGAAAUCUCGACGGUUUUCAUUGGAUGUGCAGACAUAAAAGUCAUCGAGGCAAGAAAACCAGCCGAUCAGUGCGAGUCGGGUCUCUCUUCGAGAGAUCAAAACUCAGCUUGUCAUCUUGGCUAAUAUUCAUUUACAGGUUUGCUCAGGGAUUGCGGAUUAGACAAAUUGAUAUGAUGCAAGAUGGCAUUGCAAAAAGUUCCAGAACCCUCUCUAAGAUGGCUCGUAUCAUGAGGAAAGUUUGCCACUGUGCUAUAAAACGAUACAGACGAAGACAUGGACAAAUGAUUGGAAGUGCUCGAGAAUUUGCUGUUCUUGAUGAAAGUAACUUCCGUCAUAAACGAAAGUAUGGACGAGGGAGAGCAUCAACAACAUGGAGGCGAAAAAAAUGGGUCUUUGGCAUGCUAGGUGUGAGGGAUAAAUGCAGACACCCAAUCUUGCGGCUUGUGAAAAGAAGAUCAAGACCUCACCUAAUCCCCAUAGUUGUAAAACAUGUGCGUCCAGGCACUACCAUUAUUUCAGAUGAGUGGAGAGCCUACCGGGGGGCUUUGGCCAAUAUGGGCUACAAACAUUUUACAGUGAACCAUUCCCAGUGGUUUGUAGACCCACACAGUGGAGCUCAUUCACAACACCUUGAAAGAGCUUGGUUGACAUACAAAACAAGUGUAUGGAGACUAAGGGGGAACAGGACAGAGAAAAUGCUAAAAGAGCACCUCUCUCUCAUAGAGUGGACUCAUUGGCUUGGUGAAAAAAAUAAACGGGGGCCACUUGGGCGCCUAAUAAAAGAUAUUCACCAUCAAUUUCCUGUUUAGAGGACAACACACUGAACAUUUGAUUGUGUUUUAUGUAAUAUUUAAGUAAAAUACAAGUUAACUUGUCCUCUUGAUUUAAGGUGCACUGAUAUUUAAAAGCUUUGUUUAAUAAAAUGUGUAUUUUACCUUUUUAAUUUCUGUGCUUUAAGUGCUGGGUAAUAUUUAUCUUGAAAUAAUCAUCUUGAAUAUACUGUUGCAAAAUAAGAGUCACCUUUGUAGAUGUUAAUUGAGAUUAUUUAGAUAAUGACUUCACAUUACGUAAUCAUUAACAACUCAUAAACUAACAUGAAUUCAUGACUUGUUGAUGUAUCAUUAUGUCAUGACUUUACUUGGGGGGGCACA